Molecule: ribosomal RNA, 498 nt
Filed under: uncultured Glomeromycotina
Lineage: Eukaryota; Fungi; Glomeromycota
Description: partial small subunit ribosomal RNA
Rfam family: Eukaryotic small subunit ribosomal RNA
Source: RNAcentral
CCAAUAGCGUAUAUUAAAGUUGCUGCAGUUAAAAAGCUCGUAGUUGAAUUUCGGGAUCAAUAUGUUGGUCGUGCCCUGGUACGUACUAGCUUAUUGGUUUCUCCCUUCUGACGAACCAUGAUGUCAUUAAUUUGGUGUCAUGUGGAAUCAGGACUGUUACUUUGAAAAAAUUAGAGUGUUUAAAGCAGGCUCACGCUUGAAUACAUUAGCAUGGAAUAAUGAAAUAGGACAUUUGAUUCUAUUUUGUUGGUUUCUAGGAUCGACGUAAUGAUUAAUAGGGAUAGUUGGGGGCAUUAGUAUUCAAUUGUCAGAGGUGAAAUUCUUGGAUUUAUUGAAGACUAACUACUGCGAAAGCAUUUGCCAAGGAUGUUUUCAUUAAUCAAGAACGAAAGUUAGGGGAUCGAAGACGAUCAGAUACCGUCGUAGUCUUAACCAUAAACUAUGCCGACUAGGGAUCGGAUGAUGUUAAUUUUUUAAUGACUCAUUCGGCGCCUUACG